UGGGGAAUAUUGCACAAUGGGCGAAAGCCCGAUGCAGCAACGCCGCGUGAGUGAUGAAGGCCUUCGGGUUGUAAAGCUCUGUCUUUUGGGACGAUAAUGACGGUACCAAAGGAGGAAGCCACGGCUAACUACGUGCCAGCAGCCGCGGUAAUACGUAGGUGGCAAGCGUUGUCCGGAAUUUACUGGGCGUAAAGGAUGCGUAGGCGGAUUUUUAAGUGAGAUGUGAAAUACCCCGGGCUUAACUUGGGUGCUGCAUUUCAAACUGGGAAUCUAGAGUGCGGGAAGAGGAGAAUGGAAUUCCUAGUGUAGCGGUGAAAGUGCGUAGAGAUUAGGAAGAACACCAGUGGCGAAGGCGAUUCUCUGGACCGUAACUGACGCUGAGGCAUGAAAGCGUGGGUAGCAAACAGGAUUAGAUACCCUGGUAGUCCACGCCGUAAA
RNAcentral lists this ribosomal RNA (438 nucleotides) under uncultured bacterium. Its description in RNAcentral is "partial 16S ribosomal RNA". It matches the Rfam family "Bacterial small subunit ribosomal RNA", at positions 355 to 806 of the family's 1533-position model. The record is from RNAcentral.